This 597-nucleotide ribosomal RNA is filed under the name Bacillus sp. EB15(2012). RNAcentral's name for it is "bacterial SSU rRNA". It matches the Rfam family "Bacterial small subunit ribosomal RNA", at positions 60 to 645 of the family's 1533-position model. The record is from RNAcentral. Lineage: Bacteria; Bacillati; Bacillota; Bacilli; Caryophanales; Bacillaceae.
AGUCGAGCGAUCGAUGGGAGCUUGCUCCCUGAGAUUAGCGGCGGACGGGUGAGUAACACGUGGGCAACCUGCCUAUAAGACUGGGAUAACUUCGGGAAACCGGAGCUAAUACCGGAUACGUUCUUUUCUCGCAUGAGAGAAGAUGGAAAGACGGUUUACGCUGUCACUUAUAGAUGGGCCCGCGGCGCAUUAGCUAGUUGGUGAGGUAAUGGCUCACCAAGGCGACGAUGCGUAGCCGACCUGAGAGGGUGAUCGGCCACACUGGGACUGAGACACGGCCCAGACUCCUACGGGAGGCAGCAGUAGGGAAUCUUCCGCAAUGGACGAAAGUCUGACGGAGCAACGCCGCGUGAACGAAGAAGGCCUUCGGGUCGUAAAGUUCUGUUGUUAGGGAAGAACAAGUACCAGAGUAACUGCUGGUACCUUGACGGUACCUAACCAGAAAGCCACGGCUAACUACGUGCCAGCAGCCGCGGUAAUACUUGGCAAGCGUUGUCCGGAAUUAUUGGGCGUAAAGCGCGCGCAGGUGGUUCCUUAAGUCUGAUGUGAAAGCCCACGGCUCAACCGUGGAGGGUCAUUGGAAACUGGGGAACUUGA